CUGGCUCAGGAUGAACGCUAGCUACAGGCUUAACACAUGCAAGUCGAGGGGUAGCAGGGUAGCAAUACCGCUGACGACCGGCGCACGGGUGAGUAACACGUAUCCAACCUUCCCAUAACUCAGGGAUAGCCUUUCGAAAGAAAGAUUAAUACCUGAUAGUACUUUUUCAAGGCAUCUUGAGAAAGUUAAAGAUUUAUUGGUUAUGGAUGGGGAUGCGUUCCAUUAGAUAGUUGGUGAGGUAACGGCUCACCAAGUCUUCGAUGGAUAGGGGUUCUGAGAGGAAGGUCCCCCACAUUGGUACUGAGACACGGACCAAACUCCUACGGGAGGCAGCAGUGAGGAAUAUUGGUCAAUGGGCGAGAGCCUGAACCAGCCAAGUAGCGUGAAGGAUGAAGGUCCUAUGGAUUGUAAACUUCUUUUAUAGUAGAAUAAAGUGAUCCACGUGUGGAUUUUUGUAUGUAUACUAUGAAUAAGGAUCGGCUAACUCCGUGCCAGCAGCCGC
This 502-nucleotide ribosomal RNA is filed under the name uncultured bacterium. RNAcentral describes it as "bacterial SSU rRNA". It matches the Rfam family "Bacterial small subunit ribosomal RNA", at positions 19 to 518 of the family's 1533-position model. The record is from RNAcentral.